RNAcentral lists this ribosomal RNA (1001 nucleotides) under Staphylococcus aureus. RNAcentral describes it as "bacterial SSU rRNA". It matches the Rfam family "Bacterial small subunit ribosomal RNA", at positions 55 to 1034 of the family's 1533-position model. The record is from RNAcentral. Lineage: Bacteria; Bacillati; Bacillota; Bacilli; Caryophanales; Staphylococcaceae.
AGUCAACGUCGAGCGAACGGACGAGAAGCUUGCUUCUCUGAUGUUAGCGGCGGACGGGUGAGUAACACGUGGAUAACCUACCUAUAAGACUGGGAUAACUUCGGGAAACCGGAGCUAAUACCGGAUAAUAUUUUGAACCGCAUGGUUCAAAAGUGAAAGACGGUCUUGCUGUCACUUAUAGAUGGAUCCGCGCUGCAUUAGCUAGUUGGUAAGGUAACGGCUUACCAAGGCAACGAUGCAUAGCCGACCUGAGAGGGUGAUCGGCCACACUGGAACUGAGACACGGUCCAGACUCCUACGGGAGGCAGCAGUAGGGAAUCUUCCGCAAUGGGCGAAAGCCUGACGGAGCAACGCCGCGUGAGUGAUGAAGGUCUUCGGAUCGUAAAACUCUGUUAUUAGGGAAGAACAUAUGUGUAAGUAACUGUGCACAUCUUGACGGUACCUAAUCAGAAAGCCACGGCUAACUACGUGCCAGCAGCCGCGGUAAUACGUAGGUGGCAAGCGUUAUCCGGAAUUAUUGGGCGUAAAGCGCGCGUAGGCGGUUUUUUAAGUCUGAUGUGAAAGCCCACGGCUCAACCGUGGAGGGUCAUUGGAAACUGGAAAACUUGAGUGCAGAAGAGGAAAGUGGAAUUCCAUGUGUAGCGGUGAAAUGCGCAGAGAUAUGGAGGAACACCAGUGGCGAAGGCGACUUUCUGGUCUGUAACUGACGCUGAUGUGCGAAAGCGUGGGGAUCAAACAGGAUUAGAUACCCUGGUAGUCCACGCCGUAAACGAUGAGUGCUAAGUGUUAGGGGGUUUCCGCCCCUUAGUGCUGCAGCUAACGCAUUAAGCACUCCGCCUGGGGAGUACGACCGCAAGGUUGAAACUCAGAGGAAUUGACGGGGACCCGCACAAGCGGUGGAGCAUGUGGUUUAAUUUCGAAGCACGCGAAAAACCUUUACAAAUCUUGACAUCCUUUGACCACUCUAAAGAUAGAGCUUUCCCCUUCGGAGGACAAAGUGA